AAAUUCUUUUGGUCCAAAGACCUAUUUUGUUUUCCCCCAAAAUGAAAUCACCACUGAGAACCUCCUUUCACAAAACCCUUCUAUACCACCAUUAGUAGACUACAUUCAACCAGUAUUCUUUAACCAACAAGCUUCGAUUUCUCUGUAUUUUGGUGUUCUGUCAAUUGCUUUAUCCUUGUAAAGCGAUUACCUCAAGGUUGUGAGGCACCAUUUAUUGAGGCAGCAUCCCAGUUUCUCAACGAUAUGCUAUUGUUGUUGCUCAACAUCAUUAAAGGAGAAGGAUGAAGCUCCGGAAGCUCCAAGAAGGCCCAUGACAAGGUCUCAAACAAAGAAAUUUCAAGACAAGCUUAAUGGACUUCAAUUGGCAA
Long non-coding RNA from Nicotiana attenuata, 368 nucleotides. RefSeq lists it as uncharacterized. NCBI's taxonomy places the organism in Eukaryota, Viridiplantae, Streptophyta, Magnoliopsida, Solanales, Solanaceae. The record is from RefSeq and is a predicted model, not a curated record. The transcript has 3 exons.